UACGUAGGGUGCAAGCGUUAAUCGGAAUUACUGGGCGUAAAGCGUGCGUAGGCGGUUCGGAAAGAAAGGUGUGAAAUCCCAGAGCUUAACUUUGGAACUGCACUUUUAACUACCGGGCUAGAGUAUGUCAGAGGGGGGUAGAAUUCCACGUGUAGCAGUGAAAUGCGUAGAGAUGUGGAGGAAUACCGAUGGCGAAGGCAGCCCCCUGGGAUAAUACUGACGCUCAGGCACGAAAGCGUGGGGAGCAAACAGG
Molecule: ribosomal RNA, 253 nt
Filed under: uncultured bacterium
Lineage: Bacteria
Description: partial 16S ribosomal RNA
Rfam family: Bacterial small subunit ribosomal RNA
Source: RNAcentral